This is a long non-coding RNA of Anopheles gambiae (African malaria mosquito), 1807 nucleotides long. RefSeq lists it as uncharacterized. The transcript is spliced from 5 exons. The record is from RefSeq and is a predicted model, not a curated record. Lineage: Eukaryota; Metazoa; Arthropoda; Insecta; Diptera; Culicidae.
ACGCAAGAUCCCCAAGACAUCCCGGCAAACAAUACUAGGGUUGGUGAGGUACCUCUCGCUCUAAUUUCUCUAGUCUAGUCUAGUUGCCUCGCUUCCUCCUAUAGCGAUUCUGUCGAGCUGAGCUUUCACGUCCCUCAUUACCGAUCUCCUUCCUACCCCUCGCCUAAGAUCGUCUGAUGUCUCGCCUGACACCUUUCGUUGUGUUGGUGCUAUGCGGCUGCUGUCACUGUAGAAGUCAGGUUGUGUGUGUAAAAAAAACAAUAAACAAUGUAAACAAUGUUGUUGGCUGAUCAAUUUUGCAAAAGUAAGUGGUAGAAGUCUUGCCCAAUGCGUACUGGCUCCGUCGGAAGCAGUACGUGCAUGUACCGGGGUAGGAAAGUGGUGUGGUGAACAACACAGCACAAGACAGCGGAUAUAAUGCAGAAACGAUAUGGGCCUGCCGCAGGUGUUUGCGACUGUGCGUUGCAUUGUAUAUGAUUCGGUAUGUUCGCCAAUUUUCCUCUAUCCUGGAACGUGGGCUUACGAGGAACCAUUUAAGAACAUCCUCCGGAAGCUGUACGGCGAAGAGUUGGGCUCUACCAGCACAACACGCUAGAGGCCCAGCCGGCACCGGGUGCCCCGAUUGGACCGUCAGACGGUGUCGAGCGUGCUCGUUCAUAACGUUCGUGGCAGGGAUUCAACCCUUUGGAACCUCAUUGUCCUCUGCCUCACAAUAGCUGCAGCAGCAACAGGACCGACCUCACUACUGAUAGCGGCCAAAUUUCCUGGCAGGAGAAAAAAUCCCACAAGUGUAUCGAUUUCAUCGACGGCCGCUCGCUGGCAGCACCAACAUGCCACCGAAUAACCCCGGAAAGGCGACAAACACUCAUCUCCAGCGGCAAACAAAUUGGUAACAAUAACCCACUUUCGCACAUCUAUACGACAUCACGUUAAUAGUAUUAUUGUGAUGAUGUUAACGAGUUAAGAUUAGACUUAAGUACGCUUUAAGGCAUACAUCGAUAUGCCUAAUUUUAAGUUAAGUGUUUUGACAAUCGCGUGUGUGUCAAGGGGCGGAAUAAGUGCUAAGCAAAUUAAGCGGCCGUGUCGGGCCCCGUGGUCUUGAGGGGCCCCAAAAAAGGAACCCACCCCCCGCUCGCAAGUUAAAUUGCUACUAAAUCCCUCUCUAGUUUAGAAUAUUUCCCUGCUAGACGCUUAAACCAAACUUACAUUUAUGCGACUGCUUCGGGCAUCCACUCGUAUGUGUGGGUUUUGCACAACAUUUAAGAUAAAUAAAUUUAGUUUAUAUUAUCAUAAAACACUACGCAUUUUUAAAGGGGGAAUAAAGAUGAUGACAUAUAUUUAGUUUGUUAGAAGGUUUGUAUGCACGUUCACUAGUUUAUUUUAUCUGGAUUCUUUGCGGACUGCUUUUCGAUUGCGCAUGUCGCUUUGCCUCGUCUUGUGUUUUACAAACCCCAACAGCAAGGAUGCGGCUAGUCUAUCAUUGGAUUAACCUGGUGGAUCUGGUAGCUUGUAGCGCACCAUACUCGCCUGUCCGCGAUGGGUAGGCCAUGUCAUACCCCUGGUACUGAACGAUCCAGCCCAUAGUCGUUCGCAAAGACAAAACGGUGUGUCGCAGAAUGUGUAACAGAUGGUAGAAAAUGGGUACCUGGGGGUGAGAGAGUCUGUUUCUAAUGUUUUAUUAUCAGUUGGUGACACGUUCAAAUGGAUGUGCACAGAUCACGGCCCGAUCCUGAGGGCUCACCGUUGAAAAAGGCGCUGUCAGCGUGUGAUGUUCUCAAUGAGGAUCUUGACACGGAACCGAGAGUGG